UUUUUAAUGAUGACCGCAUAGUUCAGAUGACUGUUCUGAUUACAACUAGCAUCUUGUCUUUCGCUCCUAUCUGACUUAUUUG
RNAcentral lists this small nucleolar RNA (82 nucleotides) under Anthonomus grandis grandis. Its description in RNAcentral is "small nucleolar RNA snR60/Z15/Z230/Z193/J17". It matches the Rfam family "Small nucleolar RNA snR60/Z15/Z230/Z193/J17". Rfam says of the family: The members of this family belong to the C/D class of snoRNAs which contain the C (UGAUGA) and D (CUGA) box motifs. Most of the members of the box C/D family function in directing site-specific 2'-O-methylation of substrate RNAs. The family includes the yeast snoRNA snR60 (also known as Z15) and the corresponding human guide snoRNA U80 (SNORD80). The record is from RNAcentral. Lineage: Eukaryota; Metazoa; Arthropoda; Insecta; Coleoptera; Curculionidae.